RNAcentral lists this ribosomal RNA (253 nucleotides) under uncultured prokaryote. RNAcentral's name for it is "partial 16S ribosomal RNA". It matches the Rfam family "Bacterial small subunit ribosomal RNA", at positions 525 to 777 of the family's 1533-position model. The record is from RNAcentral.
ACAGAGGGUGCGAGCGUUAAUCGGAAUUACUGGGCGUAAAGCGUGCGUAGACGGUUAUUUAAGUCGGAUGUGAAAGCCCUGGGCUCAACCUGGGAACGGCAUUGGAUACUGGCUUACUAGAGUGCGGUAGAGGGUAGUGGAAUUCCCGGUGUAGCAGUGAAAUGCGUAGAUAUCGGGAGGAACAUCUGUGGCGAAGGCGACUACCUGGACCAGCACUGACACUGAGGCACGAAAGCGUGGGGAGCAAACAGGA